This 688-nucleotide long non-coding RNA is filed under the name Physcomitrium patens. Its description in RNAcentral is "long non-coding RNA (PPAT_LNC007111)". Lineage: Eukaryota; Viridiplantae; Streptophyta; Bryopsida; Funariales; Funariaceae. The record is from RNAcentral.
UCAGCGUUCAAUCUUUCUUCUUCUCAAAUAAUAUCAAUCACAUUUCUAUUCCAUAAUUUACUUCACAAUAUUCAGAAACUCUCAAUCCUCUUAUUCAAAGAAAAUAACAAACAAAAGAAAAGAGGUAGCAUCAAGCUUACCCCGGCUCACAACUAUCACAGCGAUGGGACCUUAAUUAACUUCUAUAAUUCUUAUAUACUUUCCCUUGAUUCUCUAGAUUUUAAUCAUAAUUCUAUAAUUAACUACUUUUAAUAAGUAAAUCACUCAUCCGUCUUUCUGAAUAUCCUAUUAUAUGGACUAUUAAUAUAUUUUACCAAUAUCUUUCAAAAAUGAAUUAAUAUCUAUUCUACAUAGCCUCACUCCUAUCUCUGCAGCGUCCUCGCAAAUACUCAAUUGAUACCUAUCUAAAAAUUAUCUAAUAAAACUCUACAAAAAUUACGAUCCCUCUGGCCUAUCUAAUUAAUCAAUUGCUGCAAUAUCUGUUAUUGAUUCUACCAAUUCCGAUUCCAACUGCAAAUCUUCGUCCUCCUCCAAUCCUUCUAUUGGCUCUUGCCUCAAUUGAGCUGAAGGUCUUCAUUAUACUCUCCCAGUUUAUAGACUUGAGCUUCCAAUUUCAAGAUCUAGGCAUCUCUCAAUUCCAAUUGGCGCUGAAAGUGACUCCUCUCCUCUAGAACAUCGAGAAUUGGCA